RNAcentral lists this ribosomal RNA (325 nucleotides) under Klebsiella pneumoniae subsp. pneumoniae KPNIH17. RNAcentral describes it as "bacterial LSU rRNA". It matches the Rfam family "Bacterial large subunit ribosomal RNA", at positions 2608 to 2925 of the family's 2925-position model. Lineage: Bacteria; Pseudomonadati; Pseudomonadota; Gammaproteobacteria; Enterobacterales; Enterobacteriaceae. The record is from RNAcentral.
GGUUUAGAACGUCGUGAGACAGUUCGGUCCCUAUCUGCCGUGGGCGCUGGAGAAUUGAGGGGGGCUGCUCCUAGUACGAGAGGACCGGAGUGGACGCAUCACUGGUGUUCGGGUUGUCAUGCCAAUGGCACUGCCCGGUAGCUAAAUGCGGAAGAGAUAAGUGCUGAAAGCAUCUAAGCACGAAACUUGCCCCGAGAUGAGUUCUCCCUGAGACUAUAAGUCUCCUGAAGGAACGUUGAAGACGACGACGUUGAUAGGCCGGGUGUGUAAGCGCAGCGAUGCGUUGAGCUAACCGGUACUAAUGAACCGUGAGGCUUAACCUUAC